GAACCUUCUUAUAUGGCCACUGAUGGGUGCCAAAGCAAACAGCUUAGGGAGACCAUGAUAUACGUCUUCAUCCUCCAUCUUCCUCAUGGAAUGUUUUCAGAUGAUGCCUCUAGUGUUAGGAAUGACCUCGUGGUUUGCUUUAGGAAUCUUGGCUUUACAGUGUGGGCUAGAAAUGAAUGUUUCUGGGUUUUGAAGGUUGAGGGUUGAAGUGCAGAACUAAAAGCCAAUGAGAAGAACUUCAGAGCAGCAGUUUGGAUAGUUAACAGUGUUUAAGGGACUAGAAUCGUUUUAUUUGCCAGUUAACCAUGAAAAAUAAAGCUCAGACAUGGACGAGUCAACUGUCAGUGACGAUGAAUGGAAGUGAAAUCCAAAACUUAAUAAACUAAUAAAUAAUACACCAAUUUAUUAUUAUUAUUAUUAUUAUUAUUAUUAUUAUUAUUAUUUCUGUUUUUUUUAUAAUAGUGCAUAAAUAAAACUUAUAAUUAUAAUAUUAUAUAAUUAUUAUAAUAAUUUAUGAGAAUAUAAUUUAUAAUAAAACUGAUGCUGUAGAUUUGUAUAAAGCUGCUUUAAUGUCUGUAGUUUAAAUCUGACGCUGAUUCCUAACUGAGCGCCUGCGCAUGUUUCUGAUGGGGUUCUGUGUAUCAGCACAUCCAUCACACAGGUGUAUCAGGUGUAUCAGGUGUAUCAGGUGUAUCAGGUGACCUCGCUACAUACCACACCUGUGUGUGAUGGGGUUCUGUGUAUCAGCACAUCCAUCACACACAGGUGUAUCAGGUGUAUCAGGUGUAUCAGGUGUAUCAGGUGACCUCGCUACAUACCACACCUGUGUGUGAUGGGGUUCUGUGUAUCAGCACAUCCAUCACACAGGUGUAUCAGGUGUAUCAGGUGUAUCAGGUGACCUCGCUACAUACCACACCUGUGUGUGAUGGGGUUCUGUGUAUCAGCACAUCCAUCACACAGGUGUAUCAGGUGUAUCAGGUUACCUCGCUACAUGCCAUUUUCUUUCCACCAUCAGGUGGAUCUCCUCGAUGCGGCGGUUGUUGGCGUA
This is a long non-coding RNA of Tachysurus fulvidraco (yellow catfish), 1048 nucleotides long. RefSeq lists it as uncharacterized. NCBI's taxonomy places the organism in Eukaryota, Metazoa, Chordata, Actinopteri, Siluriformes, Bagridae. The transcript is spliced from 4 exons. The record is from RefSeq and is a predicted model, not a curated record.